Molecule: ribosomal RNA, 229 nt
Filed under: Lingulaulax polyedra
Lineage: Eukaryota; Dinophyceae; Gonyaulacales; Lingulodiniaceae
Description: Lingulodinium polyedra 5.8S ribosomal RNA
Rfam family: 5.8S ribosomal RNA (bases 3-157)
About the family: 5.8S ribosomal RNA (5.8S rRNA) is a component of the large subunit of the eukaryotic ribosome.
Source: RNAcentral
GUGUUAUUCAGUAAUGGAUGCCUUGGUCUGAAAAUCGAUGAAGAGUACAGCGAAAUGUGAUAUGCAUUGUGAACUGCAGACUUCCGUGAGUCAAUGGCUUGUUGAACGUUUGCUGUGCCUUUGGGAUACGCCUGAAGGCGCGCCUGCUUCAGCGUCUGUUCCAGCAUGUGCAUGCCGUGCAACUGUCUUGCUUUAAGUGGCAGCGGUACUGUGGGCCUUUGCAUGUUAC